AACCAUCGCCUUCACUUGUUUCAGGAGGAAAAAAAAAUAAUAAUAAUGAACCUGAUUGUAACCAAAUCUCCAGGCAACCCAUCCGCAAACUUCUAACGAUCGGGAUCCUGCACAUCCAUGGCCCGGAGAAACACCAGCAGACUUUAGCUCAUUUAUUUUAUUUUAUUUUAUCUUAUUUUAUUUUAUUUUACUGAAUUACUACCCAUUUAUUCCUCCUUCUCUCUCUCCUUUCACCUCCUUCCCUCUUUUUUUUAAUGAAAAUUACCGAAGCGCGUUGCAAAAAAAAAGGAGGCUCUCCCAUUGCUUUGUGCCACACUGGAUCCCGAGGAGUCACUCUGGUCUACUGAGACAGAUUAACUUUCUACAGAACCUUUCAUGUCACCAGUCCACUGCUGAGGGACUCACAUAGGCCACUACAAUGCCUGUUCUCAUAACUUGCCCAGAAGCUCAAAGAUGAAUUCUAGGAAAACCCUUUCGCACUUUGACAGAGUUGGGUGUUUUGAAUUCAACCAUGGAAGUAUCAUUUUGACUAAUGUUGGUAUGUGCAUUCAGUUGUAAAAUGGGAUCUUUCCCAUUUUGCUCCAGUGGAAAAUGUAUCUACAGUUUGUAAUUUGAUAUAGAAGUAUUUGGUCAAAAAUGAUAUGUCCACUAGUAUAUUUUUAUGAUAUGGGGCCUUACUUUUUUUUCUAUUGGGGGAAAGCGUGUGUUUGUUUUUCAGGUAGAGAGAGGCUUGAAAGAUAACAUGUCACUGGUUUAUUUUCAUCACUUUGUAUCUACAUGCUUGCAUGCGUAAGUGCAUAUGCAUACAUACAUGCACCUUUGCAGGGUAUCAGUGUGAAAAGGGGAAUGAAAAAGGAUAGAAAGGAGGAUUCUAAUUUCACUUUUAGUUAUACCAGCAAAUAGCAAAUUUGUAGUAGCUUUAAUUGUAGUGUCAUCAGUGUAAUUGCUAGUUACUGCAGUGCUUGGUAGCCUUCUAUAGGCUCUAGUUCCAAUUACACUACGUGUUCUUUCCACCAUGGAUCUAUGGUGGAAAUUACUGCACCAAUGGCAUUUCUCUUUUAAAGUAACAAUGGAAUAUUUUCAUUUAUUUCAAAACAAGUUAGAUAUGAUCAGCUAUUCAUCUUGAUUUCGUAGGCUUAAAGGAUGGUUAACUGGGGUUGAGAUGGGAUAAGGGCUAUGCAGGUUAUUAGUAGUAAGUUUAGAGAAGUGUAAUGAGAUGCAAAAAUGUGUGAAACAGAGGAGAGAUCAAGGAAGAAAGGUAUUACCAAAUAAUGUUCUGGAAAAAGGAGUAAGAUAAAACAUAACUUGUUGUCAAUUCUGUAUUGCAGUAGUACAACAGAUCAUUGGUAUUCCUCUUAACAGGGUCCUUUAUGUAUUUUGGUUACUGUUAGAGUAUCACAAGUUACAAAUUUGUCAGCAUACCUGCCUGAGAAAAAGGAACAUUUCUGUGUUAGAAUAUCUGCCUAGAUUUAAAGUAUUCAGCAAGGCAAUCACCUUGCUGCCUUACGGCAGAAGAACUUAUUAAUGUUGGCCAUUGUGAGUUCUGGCGCCUCUUCACUUGGAGAGCAGGCUCUGUUAGCCUUUCUACUUCAAAGCUAUAUUGUCACUGCAGGUAAAUAAAUCACAGACUCCCUUAUUCUUCA
This is a long non-coding RNA of Apteryx owenii (little spotted kiwi), 1643 nucleotides long. The record is from Ensembl. NCBI's taxonomy places the organism in Eukaryota, Metazoa, Chordata, Aves, Apterygiformes, Apterygidae.